This 1501-nucleotide ribosomal RNA is filed under the name uncultured bacterium. RNAcentral's name for it is "partial 16S ribosomal RNA". It matches the Rfam family "Bacterial small subunit ribosomal RNA". The record is from RNAcentral.
AGAGUUUGAUCCUGGCUCAGAUUGAACGCUGGCGGUAUGCUUAACACAUGCAAGUCGAACGGAAACGAAACUAGCUUGCUAGUAGGCGUCGAGUGGCGGACGGGUGAGUAACGCGUAGGAAUCUGCCUGAUAGUGGGGGAUAGCCCGAAGAAAUUCGGAUUAAUACCGCAUAAUCUAUUCGUAGUAAAGUGGGGGACUUUCGAGCCUCACGCUAUCAGAUGAGCCUGCGUAAGAUUAGCUUGUUGGUAGGGUAAAAGCCUACCAAGGCAACGAUCUUUAGCUGGUCUGAGAGGAUGAUCAGCCACAUCGGGACUGAGACACGGCCCGAACUCCUACGGGAGGCAGCAGUGGGGAAUAUUGGACAAUGGGGGCAACCCUGAUCCAGCAAUACCGCGUGUGUGAAGAAGGCCCGAGGGUUGUAAAGCACUUUCAAUUGUGAAGAAAAGUUAGCGGUUAAUAACCGUUGACCUUGACGUUAACUAUAGAAGAAGCACCGGCUAACUCCGUGCCAGCAGCCGCGGUAAUACGGAGGGUGCAAGCGUUAAUCGGAAUUACUGGGCGUAAAGCGUGCGUAGGCGGUUUAUUAAGUCAGAUGUGAAAGCCCCGGGCUUAACCUGGGAACUGCAUUUGAAACUGGUCAACUAGAGUAUGGUAGAGGAAAGUGGAAUUUCUGGUGUAGCGGUGAAAUGCGUAGAUAUCAGAAGGAACAUCAAUGGCGAAGGCAGCUUUCUGGACCAAUACUGACGCUGAGGUACGAAAGCGUGGGUAGCAAACAGGAUUAGAUACCCUGGUAGUCACGCCGUAAACGAUGAUAACUAGCCGUUGGGGGGAUUUACCCCUUAGUGGCGAAGCUAACGCGUUAAGUUAUCCGCCUGGGGAGUACGGCCGCAAGGCUAAAACUCAAAGGAAUUGACGGGGACCCGCACAAGCGGUGGAGCAUGUGGUUUAAUUCGAUGCAACGCGAAGAACCUUACCUGGUCUUGACAUCCUCGGACCGCUUCAGAGAUGAAGUUUCCUCUUCGGAGGCCGAGUGACAGGUGCUGCAUGGCUGUCGUCAGCUCGUGUCGUGAGAUGUUGGGUUAAGUCCCGCAACGAGCGCAACCCCUACCCUUAAUUGCCAUCGGGUUAUGCCGGGCACUUUAGGGGGACUGCCGGUGACAAGCCGGAGGAGGGUGGGGAUGACGUCAAGUCCUCAUGGCCUUUAUGACCAGGGCUACACACGUGUUACAAUGGGAGUUACAGAGGGAAGCUAAGCCGCGAGGCCAUGCCAAUCCCAGAAAAACUUUCUCAGUUCGGAUCGCAGUCUGCAACUCGACUGCGUGAAGCUGGAAUCGCUAGUAAUCGCGGAUCAGCACGCCGCGGUGAAUACGUUCCCGGGCCUUGUACACACCGCCCGUCACACCAUGGGAGCCGACAAGGGCAGAAGUCGCCGAGCUAACCUUCGGGAAGCAGGCGCCCAAGCUGUUGUUGACGACUGGGGUGAAGUCGUAACAAGGUAACC